CGCAAGCUCCUCCUAGAUUGCAGCUACUACCACUCCAAGAACUCCAACCUAGACGGAGGAAGGAACAUCAUGGAGGCCGCUUGCCGCAUAAGAGGCUGGAGCGGCAAGUUUGGUGUGGCUGCUCCUCCAUGCAAAGGCUGAGAUCCAACACUGACCACAGGCAAGCCCCAUGGAAUUCACCGCUUCUCUACGUGUUGCUGGAGGAUGGCUCACAGCAUGCGAAGCAUUUAGCUUAGGUGAGAUCUUCUCUUUUUCACUUGGGUUCUUUUUUCUUAUGUCUAUAUUUAUGAAUUUCUAUCACUGUUUUGCACAUUCCUUACUGGGAAUAAACAGAGGGGAAGCUUGAAGGCAUUUUAUCUAGGAAAAUGUGCAUGCUCCAAUGUAUGAUCAGAGUUUUUAAUUAAUUAUGUUUGCUUCAUCUGAUCCUAUUUGAGAGUUCCUCUCUCUGUUUUUAGUUGAUCUUCUUGCAUCCUU
Long non-coding RNA from Lolium rigidum, 474 nucleotides. RefSeq lists it as uncharacterized. The transcript is spliced from 3 exons. Lineage: Eukaryota; Viridiplantae; Streptophyta; Magnoliopsida; Poales; Poaceae. The record is from RefSeq and is a predicted model, not a curated record.